CGUCGAGUGGCGAACGGGUGAGUAACACGUGGGUGAUCUGCCCUGCACUUCGGGAUAAGCUUGGGAAACUGGGUCUAAUACCGGAUAGGAGCCAUCUUUAGUGUGGUGGUUGGAAGUUUUUCGGUGUAGGAUGAGCUCGCGGCCUAUCAGCUUGUUGGUGGGGUAAUGGCCUACCAAGGCGGCGACGGGUAGCCGGACUGAGAGGUUGGUCGGCCACAUUGGGACUGAGAUACGGCCCAG
RNAcentral lists this ribosomal RNA (240 nucleotides) under uncultured Actinomycetales bacterium. RNAcentral's name for it is "partial 16S ribosomal RNA". It matches the Rfam family "Bacterial small subunit ribosomal RNA", at positions 89 to 334 of the family's 1533-position model. Lineage: Bacteria; Bacillati; Actinomycetota; Actinomycetes; Actinomycetales. The record is from RNAcentral.